Molecule: ribosomal RNA, 301 nt
Filed under: uncultured bacterium
Lineage: Bacteria
Description: partial 16S ribosomal RNA
Rfam family: Bacterial small subunit ribosomal RNA
Source: RNAcentral
CAGUCGCCGCGGUAAUGCGUAGGUGGCAAGCGUUGUCCGGAAUUAUUGGGCGUAAAGGGCUCGCAGGCGGUUUCUUAAGUCUGAUGUGAAAGCCCCCGGCUCAACCGGGGAGGGUCAUUGGAAACUGGGAAACUUGAGUGCAGAAGAGGAGAGUGGAAUUCCACGUGUAGCGGUGAAAUGCGUAGAGAUGUGGAGGAACACCAGUGGCGAAGGCGACUCUCUGGUCUGUAACUGACGCUGAGGAGCGAAAGCGUGGGGAGCGAGCAGGAUUAGAUACCCCUGUAGUCCCUGUCUCUUAUAC